UGCUUCGAAUGUGCACUCGCGCUUUUCGUCCAGUUUGCACUCGAUAUACGCGUACAUACUCGUAUGAGAUAAGCUUUUGAGCUCAGAUUUAGUAGAGCAGUGCCGAUUGCGGUUUAUCUGUUGUACACAUUUUGUGGUUAAGAAAUUGUAUCAUUACUAAAACCGCCUAUGGGCUAGAGGGAUCAUCGGCCCAUAUUUCUUCAAAGACAAGGCUCAUGCCAAUGUAGCAGUGAAUGGCAGACAAGACGGCGGACGGCGCUACUUGCUAUACAACCUGUGAAACAAUGGAUUUACUGCGCCCCCAAGAUCGUGUGAUUUCUCACCUUUGGUCUUUUAAUUGUUGGGAUGUGUUAUUCAGUACUAAAUUCAUUCACGAGAUGCCGACCGAAGUCCCCCGUGAGUCGCGAGUUAUUCAAAAUUGGUGUUUACGGGUGGCCGGAUUGUGGCGCAUUGCGCCCAAUUUUUGAAAGGGGUUAUGGAUUUUUUUU
This is a long non-coding RNA of Anastrepha ludens (Mexican fruit fly), 488 nucleotides long. RefSeq lists it as uncharacterized. The record is from RefSeq and is a predicted model, not a curated record. NCBI's taxonomy places the organism in Eukaryota, Metazoa, Arthropoda, Insecta, Diptera, Tephritidae. The transcript is spliced from 2 exons.